Long non-coding RNA from Ipomoea nil (Japanese morning glory), 612 nucleotides. RefSeq lists it as uncharacterized. NCBI's taxonomy places the organism in Eukaryota, Viridiplantae, Streptophyta, Magnoliopsida, Solanales, Convolvulaceae. The transcript has 2 exons. The record is from RefSeq and is a predicted model, not a curated record.
AUAUAUAUAUAUAUAUAUAUAUCAGCUUAUCCUCCUAAGUUGAAAUACUACAUCAGAAAUAUGGCUACAUCUCAGCUUACCAAAACCAAUAUUAUUGUGCCUCUUCUUUUCUGCUUCCUUUUCAUUGCAGCCUUUGAGAUGGAAAGCGCAGAAGCAACAUGUUGGGUUGCCUCAAAAACUUGGAACGAGGACUGCAACGGUAAUUCUUGCAAAAAUUGGUGUGACUCCCAAAUCAAUGGUCGUUACUACUGGAAGUGUGAGAAAUCCUGCGGAAAAAGCUAUUAUUCUUGUGGUUGCUACAAGGAUUGCUGAUAUGAUUAUAUAUGCAUGGGAAUAUAUUAUAAUCAAAUCGAAGGAACCAAUGUUUAUACUGCAUGGGUUGAUUAUGAAACAAAAAUAUUAUCAUACAAAUAAAAUCUAUAUAUAAUUAUAUGAAUUGGACAAGCUAGCUUGUUGUCCUUCUGUUGUGUGUAAUAGUGUAUGUUGUUGUACUGUGUACUAUCAAUAAGACGUAUUUGCAUCUUUUAUUAUUGUGUAAUAAAAGAUAUAUGUAUAGAUAUAAUGGUUGUUGUAACGUGUACUAUCAAAUAAGACGCAUUUGCAUCUUUUAUU